CAUCAAUCUCUAGAAGAACCAAACCUCAGCACCAACCUGUUCAUCAUGAUGAUCAGAAUCCUCUGCCUGAGCGUCCUUGUGCUGCUUUUCUGCACAGACAUUGAAGCUAAAAAAGAAAAGACCGAAAAGACCGAAAAGUUCAAAAAGUUCAAGUGUUUCACUUGUACAGAGAAAAACUGCAAAAAACAACAGUAUUGUAGUGAAGGACAGGUCUGCAUGAGCGCCUCUGUUAUCGGUACUGUUUGCUUCUCUUCAUUUCCUUUGAUAGACAAACAGUGACCGGCUUGGCUUUGCAUGCUAAUCCACUUUAUACCUUACAGAAGUCACACAUGGACAUCAGAAUAAAUCCUACUACAGGUCCUGUACGUCACCUUCAUACUGUCCAAAGAGUGAAAAAGCAGAGACCUUGUCCAUCGGCUUGGGUUAUCAGGUGUUUGUGGCGACCGUUAAGUGCUGCAAGUCCCAUCUCUGCAACAAAAAACCUCAACCCCGUAAGACCUUUGAAACACAAUCAAACUAAUGCUGCUCCAUACUCUGUGGGUAGUUUACACUGGUGUGUUAUGCUGUUCUUUUCAGACCCUAAGAUACCAUCAGGAAAUGGGUUGACGUGCCUUUUCUGCAGCAACACUAAUAACCCAAAGGAAUGCAAAGUCAAGGAAUGCAUUGGAAAUCAAACUCACUGCGUGCAAGUAAUCAGAAAUGGAACUCAUCAGAGUGGGUGUGCAACUAAAAACUUCUGUCACCCCGACAAGAUACUUGGACGCUACAAGCCUGUUAAUGGCUUCGCUGGUGCCCUCAGUUUUCCAGCUGAGUGUGAGAAAGCAAAACCUGCACCUGAGCCAACAACUGCUGAACCAACAACUGCUGAACCAACAACUGCUGAACCAACAACUGCUGAACCAACAACUGCUGAACCAACAACUGCUGAACCAACAACUGCUGAACCAACAACUGCUGAACCAACAACUGCUGAACCAACAAUUGCUGAACCAACAACUGCUGAACCAACAACUGCUGAACCAAAGUGUGUUCCAGUUGAAACCACUCCUGAACCAACCCUUCCACCCUGUGAUAGAAAGGGAUAACUACUCCCACCACGUAAAACCAGUUUCUUUGUCUUGCUGACAAAAUCAUUAAAAGGUUGAUUAAAGUCUGGGUGAAUCUUUAGUGGAUCCUACAUCAAACAUAGAGAUCUUAACAAACUUAUCAGACCACCACCCACUGUGAGCUUAAAUCACAGCAUUGGUAAAUAUCUUUGUUUCUGUCAUUUGGCUAAUCUCCUAAACAAAAAAAAAUGGUUGGUGGUUGAAUACAUUUGUUAACCAACUCAUGUGAUGUUUUGCUUUUAGUGAUGUUAUUAGAUGAUGAAUUAAUGAAGAUCAAAGCUUCUUUCAAAGGAGCUUUGAUGACUUCUAACUUCUAAAUGUGACUCUUUUAGUAAAGGUAACAGGGCUGAGUUUCUAAUGCUUUCUUAAAAUGCUUUCUGCAUGGGAACAAUCAUUAAAGAGGU
Molecule: long non-coding RNA, 1510 nt
Filed under: Gouania willdenowi (blunt-snouted clingfish)
Lineage: Eukaryota; Metazoa; Chordata; Actinopteri; Blenniiformes; Gobiesocidae
Description: lncRNA (ENSGWIG00000017477.1)
Source: RNAcentral